Sycon ciliatum is the source of this 10142-nucleotide RNA transcript. It is a transcript of the gene named mucin-19-like, with no coding region annotated. Lineage: Eukaryota; Metazoa; Porifera; Calcarea; Leucosolenida; Sycettidae. The record is from RefSeq and is a predicted model, not a curated record. The transcript has 32 exons.
ACAAGGGGCGAUGUUUUUGGUGCAAAUUUGGGACUUCGUUUGGGAUCAGGGAAUUUUGUGUUCUGGAUCGAGCUCUUCCUUGUACGAGCUGUUUCCUAUUUUUGAUUCUGGCGCUGUCUUCAAACACAGCUUGCAGCGCGAAAAAUCCUUGCUGUGCGAAUCGUGUGUUCGACACCAUUGCCGAUUAUUUCAUUUGUGAAAAUUGGAAUGGCCUUGUGGAGAAAGAAUGGCAGCUGCUCCUGCUUUGCGUGAUGUUUUGUCUGAUGUUAGUCGUCGUCGGUUAGAAUCAGUAUCCCAACUAGUGCGACCACGUCGUGGAACAGUCAGCAAUGGGUCUGAGUCGUCCCUUCUGGCCGUGGACAAGAGAACGGCGCACGUCGGGGAGACGGUGCAAGUCAAGUUCGACAUCAAGUCCACUUGCGAUCCGCACGACUGGAUAGGCUUAUAUCUGGCAGAUAAUACAAACCCUAAUAACUAUCUGGAGUAUCGUAAUCGUGGUCUAACGGGAGGACAGAUUGGAACCAUAUCAUGGCUUCUGGAGCCACACAUCUUUAUCAGCCAGCCAGGCUCAACUACAAAGGUUCAGUUCUGCUAUUACCACAGCGAUGGUGGACUGGAAGCCAUGAGUGCUCCAAUCAUUGUCACCUUGCCUGCUAGCAGCGAAAACAGUGGGUCAGGGCUGUACUCGUCUACUGAGGAGACAUCAGCCAUACAGGUGUCCCAAUUGUAUGCAAGAGAUUUGAAGAAGAAGAAGUUUAGCCGGCCAGACCCGAUACUGCGCUUGCGUGUAGUCCCUGGUCCAUCGUUUCCCUGGCUCAUCCACCAUGAACAGCAGAACAAGACACAUCGCUGCAAAUCUACUUGUAACCCUGUCUGGACCGGAGAGGUGUUUCAGUUCCAGGUGAUCAGCAGUGAUGUGUUGGAGUUCAUGAUCAAAGGCAAGAACCCAGGCGAUGGUGGAUUCCUUGGCAAGUCCUCACUGUCCAUGAACCGCUUUGUCGGUGAAGAGCAAGGCGCUGAUAUUGUCCUGCACUUGGACCGGCGGUUUCCUGGCGAAAACAUCACAGGUGUUGUGUGCGCUCGUAUUGACUGGUCUCGACGAGCAUCAGAACGACCGCGAUUACCACCAGCCCUGCCUGCGGCGGUUCAGGGUAGGACUACCCAGUCAGACGAGUCGGACAGCGAGCUGGCUGACGCCAACCAAGGCUCUAGUACAUGCACUGGCACUGGUGCUACAGGCAGCAGCAGCAGCACACAAUCAACAGGACCAGCACCCAGCGGACCCAGCAGCAACGGUAGUUCAUCGGCACCCUCCAGCAUAACGUCCGACCCGCCCAGCUCACGCUCCCAGUCCUCUCCACUUCCACCAAUCUGUGAUGCGGUGGCCGUCGUGCCCGGACCGCCCAGCCAGUACAUGGUUCCCAGGGACACCGCCGCACAGUCUGCGCCAUCGUCCACACGCACCACGCGCCAGUCGUCCUCGGAGCGCGAGUACAGCGAAAUGGGAGACCGACGAGAAUACAGCGAUUUAGACCGACGAGAAUACAGCGAGAUGGGAGAGCAGCAGCAGCAACAGCAUCAGCAGCAUGUGUACGAAUCGCUACGUUCGCCCACCAGUAAUGGCACUGCUGCAUCAACUGCAAGCGCCAGCAGUGGUGCCAUUGCUGGCAAAGUCACAGUGUCUGCCAGGCAUUCCGGUGGCUCUUCCGACGCCAACGACACUUCGCAGACUGGCGACAAUGAACAGCAGUACGCCAGCGCCAGUCCGCUGCCCACGCGGCGCGCAAACUCCAAGCCCGUGAUGGCCGCACGCUCCGGCUUUACUCCGAUGGACCGCGCUCGCUCCGCCACUCUGGGCCAGAGUCACGGCCACAGCUCUCCGAACAAACCGCUGCGGCGCAAGGCCCGCUUCGGAUCCACCGAAGGCAUCGCUGACAUUGGCGAGCUGUGCAGCAGCAACAUCUCCAAGUCGUCGCGGCCCGGCUACGUGGAUACCACCGCCGUGUUGGCAGAGAAACGGGCCUGUGAGGCCGCCGCUGCUGCUGCAGCAGCACGUCCGCUUGCCUCUGUCCAAGCUGAUCAAGCCGAGCGUCGCCGCUCCAGCUCAGCCACGGCCUACUCUGAGCUCCGCAAGACUUCUCUCCGUCACUUUCCACCGUCAUCAUCGUCAUCAUCAUCUUCGUCACCGUCAUCCGUACUGCUCGAGGACUGUAGUGUAGAUAGUACUGGCCAUACUAGAGGAUCCAGAGCACACACAGUAGCAGCAGCAGCUCCCCUCGUUCCCGGUGCUGUACAGCAGCAUGAUACUAGCACUUCAGCGGUGACAGCGACGGCGACGGCGCUUGUUGACGAGCGAAGUAAAAUUGGCUACUUGUCGUUUCGCCCACCGGCUGUACCGCGUACUGCAGCUGUCAAGACCCCGCCGUCCGACAAUGCACCGUCGUUUGGGUCUCCCACGGCCAUGUCUUCAUCCGCAGGAUUGGAUACCACCAGCAGCAGUAGCUUAGCACCUCGCUGGCAGGUUUCAAACAACCACUUAGUCUCCAGUUCCGUUUCUGCAAGUGACCACGCCGUGGAAGAGCACUAUGCCUGUUUGCCGUGCGCUUCGGCCGGUUCGUCCGCUCAAAACUCUGCUGUCGUAUCGCCACUGCUGUCUCGGCGUAACAGUGGUGAUAUCUAUGCACAGCUGCCGGCGGCUGUUAACAGCGCUAAUUCCGGCACCACCCAUUUAACGUCUUUGAGUCACUCUGCUUCUGCAAGUGCUCCUGCUGCCCCUGCCCCGGCUACUACUGCUACUGCUGCGACUACGACGACACCAUCGGCUGCUGCUGCUGGUGCCACUCCUCCUACACUCACUGCUGCCAGUUUUCUUCGCGGCGACCCUUCGCCGGAUGGCAGUGUCGCGACCACCAUGACCGGUCUCGACAUGAUGGCGCCGUCCUGUCGAUCCGACGCUGACGGCGGCCUGAGCGAUUCUCCGUACGCACUGUGUAAUAGCGUGCGCACUGCCGUGCUGAACGAACGCUCUGGCAUAGUCGUUCCCGGUAGCAAUGGUGGCUUGGUGUUGAGUAGCAGCACGAGUGACGGUGUCGGUGGCGCUGGUCAGCAACCUACGCAACAACCACCACCCACUGUUAACAACAUCAGCAGCAGUAGUAGUAGUAGUACGCUUGCGGGAUCAGCGCCUGCACACUCUUUACAGAGCGAUAGCAGUACACCGUUUGGAGAUGCCCUGCGUGUAGAUCCUGGCGCUGCGCCAGCCGAUCCGUUUGUGGCCUACUCAACAAUACCACGCGGAAACCCUUUUCCAGCAGCGACACCGACCGAAGCUGCAACACCAACAGCAGCAGCAUCAAUGACCACGUAUUCGGAUUGCACGUCGGUGUCGGCAGCAGCAGUGAGAGCAAGAUCGCCGCGAGACCCGGCUGUAGCUGCACUGCUGCGGCAGAGCACAUCUGGCAAUCUGUGUGACGGCGCCGGCCCGGGAGACUUCUCGCCGCCGUUGCCGCCUCGUCACCCCACUGCAUCCGCCGGUGGGCUAAGGAGCAUCGUCGGCAGUGCACUGAACAACAGUGCCAGCGAUCUGGACGCGCCGCCGUUCUUGCACACCAUUCAGUCGUCGGAUUCGCUUGCCUGCUUGGCUGGAUCGCUGGCCUCGGCGAAUUUCCAGACCAGCGAUAGCUCGUUUGCGAGCCGAACUGCUGUAGAUUUCAGCGAUAGCCGAAUAAGCCGGGGGAGUGACACGCCAUCGGCUUCUAGCGAGCAGAGUUCCUUAGUAGCCCACCACGUGCGGAAUCUGGGCAUUGACGUGGACAGCCCACCGCCCGUACCGCGCCAUCAUAACACGAUGAGCAGCGGUUGUCCUUCCCCGGCUCUCUCCUCAGGAUCAUCACGGUCAAGCUCACCUAGGGCAGAGCGUGUAACACACGCACCACCGUCCUCGUCAGCUGGCAUGGCCACCACAUCGCUAGAUAUGGCACUUUCCGCCGACGGCAAAAGCAGCGGCAGCAGCGCCAGCGUGAGUUUGAAACCGUUGUCAGAGUUGCCGCCAUCGUCCCAACCCCCUAGCAACAACAACGGGUCGGACGGUUGGCGUGGCAACACCAUACCUAGCAGUACGCCCGUGUCCAACGAGCCGUUUUCGUUUCCAGUUCCGUUCAACGACGAGCCACUGAAGCCGGCCAUGCCGGCGUUCUGGACUUCGGACACGUCAACGACGUCGCCCAUCAGUCCUGCAAACAGUACUCACUUAACGACUUCCUCACCAGUGACGUCGUCCUCUCCGGCUGCAGUCGCACGGGACAUAUGGUCAGUUGGCAACGAGAGCACUGCGACCACGGCGACCACGUCGGGUGCAGUGUUCUUCUCCUCGCCAGCUCGUAACCAGUCUGCCGCUGCGAGCAGUUCUGCUUCGGCGGGCGAUGCAGCAGAACAACAACAACGACCGUUUGCUCCUCUGUCGCACAACGGACAGCGCUGCCUGCAAAGUGCUGCAGCAGAGGAGCAAGGAGCAGCAGGUGCCAGCCAUUCCCACCAGCAGCAACAACAGGAGCAGCCAACGCAGCAGCAGCAACAACAACAGCAGCAGCAGCAGCAACAACGGCAUGACAGCGGCAAUGAUAGUCGUGUUGCCAGUAGGAACACCAGCAGUGACCAGAGCAGCGGCCAGUUGACGAUGACAACGUGUAAUCUGCGUGGCAGCGACGGUGCUGAUACCACAGACGGUGUUGCUGGUGUUGGCGAGGCAGCGACUGCCAGUUCCGGUGUCACAUCCGUGCUGGACUCCUCCACGCUGAUGGACGCGUCUUCAUUCUACGAUGACCUGUCUCGAAGUCGCAAUUCCGCCACGUGUCCUCCGGACUUGGAGAUCUCUACGGUGACGGCGCGUACCAACACUGACAGCUCUACCAACACUGUGUUUACCAACACUGGCAGCUCUACCAACACUGACAGCUCUACCAACACUGUGUUUACCAACACUGGCAAUACAAGUGUACAGUCAUCACGUCUUGCACUGGUGGCCAGUUCUAGUGAUAAUGCUAGUUCAUCGUCGUCCGCCACUGUGACCAAUACAACCACCACCACCGGCACCACUGGCGGUAGCAGUAGCUUGCAGGCACCGCGACACACUAGCAGGUCGUCCUCGCCGGGAGACAGCAGCGAAGGAGAGUUUGACUCAUUUGCCGCGUCGCGAGCCCGUGUCGCUGGCGGCAACGGUCCAGCAAUGCUUCCGCUCUCUCCCACGCCCGUGUCCUCCUCGUCGGCUGGCAGUUCUCUGGAUCCGCUGUCGUCAGCGAGCUCCGCUCCACCACUGCCGCCUCGCGAACCCAGCGCCAAUGCUAGCUCUGGCAGUUCUAGAUCUAGUUAUGAUGUGUUCAUGUCAGUGGCCAGUGGCACUAGUUCACAGUCGUCUUUGGCCAGUUCGUCGCUGUUUGUGCUGGGUGGCUCCUCUGUGCUGGGUGGCUCCUCUGUGCUGGGUGGCUCCUCUGGUGGCUCCUCUGGCGUGCCAGUACGCAGUACAUCAAGUUCUUCAACCUCGUCCUCCGCCGCCACCGCACUGCCACAGAACGUGUUCACGCAGCUGCCCAGUGCAGACACGCACGCUGCUGGCAAGACGAUGGCGGCGAGUGCGUUGCCUGCUGCUGGCUCACGCCCUGCUCCACCUCCGCCAUCGUCGCACGGCUCUGAGCAUGAUACUAGCACUGCUACUGGCACCACUGCUACUGCCGCUGCUGCUGCUUCGAAUCCUGCCUCGGGUGAGUCAGCACCACCGCUUCCGCCUCGGGACUCUGUGUCCCCGCGUGUGUCCACGUGCAGCAGUGAUUCACAAUCACCUGCCACACCGCCCAGUAGCAGCCAGGUAGUGGCGGCAGCAGCAGCAGGCCCGCCAGUGCUUCCGCCACGCCACGGCAGCAUCAGUGUCAUCGCUCCAUUCUUUCCUGGUGCUGCUUCCCUCACCAUGCCAGCAUCAGCAGCUAGCUCGGCCACGAGUAGUAGCUCAAGUCAAACCGUUGCCGCAUUAGCCACUAUGCCUGCUGCUGUGUCAUCUCAGUCCAGUGUUCGCACCAGACCCAUGCCCAUGCCGCGGCCGGCGCGACCCUCGCGGCCGUCCAAGCCAGUGCCGCCGCUGCCGCGUGGGGGAAACCCCGCGACGGCCAGGGCUUCGGCGGGGGGCGGCGCGGUACCGGAGCGACCUGCUCGUACCCAGGGUACUAGCACCACUGCCCAGACGGUGGCGGACCAGCGGCCUGCCAGGCCACCGUACCCGCCGAGCAGCUCUGUGAGAUCGGCUCUGCCACCGCUGCCCCCACCGCCCACGCGUCGUAGCACCGCGGCGGCUGCUGCGGGCACACAGCAGGCACGUGCACGCACGGAGAGCAGCGUGCGCAAUCGUCCGGCGCCGCCACCCCGACGUGCCACUCACUCGGCACUGCUCACCGAGCACAUGCUUGAUGGUGCACUUGCUGCAAUCUCUGCUGCUUCUAGUGCAGCUCCCAGCAAUACCACGGGUGCAAUGAUGCCUUCUUUAGCAGUUACAUCAUCAGAAGCAGCAGCAACAGCAGCUGGUGGUGUCUCGUCCGGUUCCAACUCACUGGCAACAACAACUUCAGCUGCUCUGGAGUUACCGCCAAGCUGGGAGGCACGGGAAGAUCAGUAUGGCCGCACGUUCUACAUCAACCACCAGAGUCGCGUCACAACAUGGACCAAGCCAACAGCAGAAGAUAAUGCACAGGAAUCUAACUAUGUGCAGCAUAGGAUACAGCUGAACAGACGGUAUGCCAGCAUGCGUCGCAAUUACGGUAACAAUCCCGGCGGUGGUGGUGGUAGUACUAGUACGGGUGCAGGUAGUACUGCUAGCAACCCGGCUAGCCACAGCGGCAGCACAAGCAGCACUGCUAACCUUAGUGUGAGCAGUGCUGGUGGUAAUAGCUUCGGUGGUAGUGCCAGUAGCGACGGCUCUACCUCAUUCGAUCCUGUACUGGCCAUGAAUCGCUAUGAAGUGUCUUCCUCGUCCGGCACGGAGGAAUCCCCGCAGCGUGGGCCAAACUCUUCAGGGACACUGUCCAUGAAUCGAACACGCACAUUGACUCCGCUGGGUCAGUCACCUACCUCGCUUGGGCAAACGUCGCAAACGCUACCGACGCAGGGCAGCGUCUCACAUUCAGUGCUUACAGCCGCUCUCAGUGCUGGAUCUCCAGCAACAAUGGGCUCCCCGGAAGGCGGUGGCAAUAAGCGUGGCUCUGUGAUUUCCAUGACAUCGCCGUCGGCUACACCCUCAAUUCCAGCAGAGCUUAGCUCGUCACCUGCUGUUCGCUUUCUGCUACGCCAGGACUUCUACACCCUGGUCGGCUCAACACCGAACUCGCAGAGUCUGUUCUAUGACAAUCGGACGCUGGUGGAGAAAGUGCGGCGUGUGCGAGAGAACCCGGCUCUCUUCUCCAAGUUUAUGCAUCACAAGGACAUUGUGUCUUUCAUCAACACAUUUGCAGACAGUGAUGCAGUGUUACCUGGUGGCUGGGGAAAGAAGCUGGACAAAGAAGGAAAGCCAUUCUUCAUCGACCAUAACACCCGUGUAACAUCCUACAUCGAUCCUCGACUACCGGUGCCGCACGCGUUCAGCUCAACUGCAGAGGAACGAUCACCAGAGCCGGAUGCCACGGCUCAUCCGCACGCCAGGCAGGUUACAGGGCGGGGUCGAGACCCACGCGCCGCCCGGGGUCCCGGUCGGGUUGGGGCGUCUCCCGGUCGUGUAGGUGCAUCCCCCAGUCGAAACCAGGUGUCGCGAGUUCAAUCCAACACGUCACUGACCAGCGAUGGGUCCAUGGAUAUCGAUCAAGAAACUGCUGCAGGCGGUGGUCCGGCAGCAAGUGCAGCCGCUACUCGUGUUCUGUCCUAUAAUGAACAAGUAGUGGAGUUCUUACGACAACCGAAUGUGGUGGACGUCAUCAAAGUGAAGCAGCCAGAUGUGGACAGUAACAUGACAUUAGUGCGCACUAUCAAUCGUAUCGGUCAAGGUGGUGUUUCCACACUGGAACGUCUGGGUCAUGACAUUGACCUUGCUAUUAUGUUGAGCUUGUUUGACGAGGAGAUUCGACAUUUCAUUCCUCCGCUCUCUCCGCCAUCAUCCACUCAGUCACCAUCACAGCGCGGCAGUGGUAGUUCUAACCGUCCACAGCGACAUGGUGGUGUCAGCUCCUCCACACAGCAGACACCGCAGCAGUCAUCGGCGCCUACCUCGCCACAACGGUCGUCACAAUCCGCUCCGUCUAGCACUGCACCCGCCUCAGCGGCUGCUGCUGCUACUGCAGCUGCAAACCCGGUACAACAGCGUAUCGUGUCUCAAGGCAGGACAGCAGCAUCUAUCAGUCAUCGGCAAGACUUUGGUGGUCGACUGGUGCAGUUCAAUAAACAACUGGCUACCCGUGGCUGUGGAAAGGGUCCACGUGUUCUCAAGAUCAAUGUAACGCGUGAAAACAUAUUGCAGGAGGCUUAUCAGAUACUGAUGAGGGAGCCCGCCAAGGCGUUAUCCAAGGCCAAGCUGGAAAUCAUGUUUAAGGGAGAAGAAGGACUGGACUAUGGCGGGCCAAGUCGUGAGUUCUUCUUCCUCUUGUCGAGGGAAGUGUUCAAUCCGUACUAUGGUUUGUUUGAGUACUCUGCCAACGAUACGUACACGCUGCAGAUUAGUCCAAUGUCAGCCAUGGUGGAUGGUGCUCUGGAUUGGUUUCGAUUCUGUGGUCGUGUGAUUGCGCUGGCUCUGAUUCACCAGCGACUGCUCGAUGCAUUCUUCACUCGGCCGUUCUACAAGUUCUUACUCGGAUGUGUAAUGGACUUGUCUGACAUUGAGUCGGUGGAUGAAGAGUACCAUCGCAGUCUGUCCUGGAUAUCGGAAAACAACAUUGACGACGCUGGUCUAGACCUCUACUUUACCGUGGAGGAGGAAGUGUUUGGCCAGUCUAGUCAGAAUGAGUUGAAACCGGGUGGUGGGGACAUUGCAGUUACUGAUGCUAACAAGAGUGAAUACAUUGAUCUGCUGGUGCGCUGGAGAUUGGACAGAGGCGUGUCUGAACAACGCAAAGUGCUACUCAAAGGCUUUACUGAGGUGAUAGAGGCCGAUCUGCUGUCAGUGUUUGAUGCUCGUGAGCUGGAGUUAGCCAUCGCUGGUACUGUUGAGGUGGAUGUGGACGACUGGCAGAAGAACACACUUUACAGAUCUGGUUAUCAUCAAGAGCACCCAGUGAUCAAGAAGUUCUGGGUGGCCAUCCGCAAGAUGAACAACGAGAGUCGUCUGCGUCUUCUACAGUUUGUGACGGGCACGUCCAGUAUUCCGUUUGAGGGCUUUGGAGCCCUGCGCGGUAGCAGUGGUCCCCGCAAGUUCACCAUAGAAUGCUGGGGCGCCAUCACUAGCCUCCCAAGGUCUCAUACAUGUUUCAACCGUCUGGACUUGCCUGCGUAUGAAACUUACAAACAACUUAUCGAGAAGCUAACACUGGCUAUUGAAGAGACGUCCAGCUUUGGAUUGGAGUAACGUGAGCAUCACACCGCCUGUCUUCGUGUGAGCCAUCGCUAGGGCGGUGUGUGUGUAUGUGCGAGAGCCUGCUUGUUUGUAGCGAGGGUUGCAGAUAAUGCUCACUUUUUUUCUCGCUUCUUUUCGUCUUGAGUCUUUAUUUAUGCCUAGACAUUUUCACUGACUGUUCCUGGCCUAAUCGGUUUCUUUUUUUUUCUUUUUUUUCUCAUCUUCUUGCUUUUCGAGAUUGACAUAGUGUUCUCGCUUUUUAACUUUUAACCAUUAAAUUUUCGUUUCCGCACUUGAUCUUUUGCAUGACAUCUUCAACUCUUGCUUUGCGGGCAUUUUUUUUAACUCCUUUGAUAGUCUUGGUCACGAUUAGCAGUAGAUCCACACCGCCGUUUUUCCUUUACUUCCAUUGAUUGUUUUCUAGUGCCAGGCGGUGUGACGACUAAGACCUAUUAUGUUUCUACUAGUUCUAACUUAUAACCAGAUGUGUUCUUCCCGUGUCCUCUGCCAACCUUCUCCGUCACUCUGUGUGCUGCUUAGGCACUCGCGCAGCAGUGCGUAUUGUGACAGCCUUAACGUUAUGCAGUUUUAUAGCAACAAAACACUGUUUAAUACGAAUCUAGACGAG